GACGAACGCUGGCGGCGUGCUUAACACAUGCAAGUCGAACGGAAAGGCCCUGCUUGCGGGGUGCUCGAGUGGCGAACGGGGGAGUAAAACGCGGGUGAACUGCCCUGCACACCGGGAGAGGCCUGGAGAACAGUGUCGAAUACCCGGGAGGGGCCAUCUUUAGUGUGGGGGGGGGAAGGUUUUUUUCGUGUAGGAUGGGCUGGCGGGCUGUUUGCCUGGUUGUGGGGGGGUUGCCUACCAAGGAGGCGACGGGUGGGCGGCCUGCGAGGGUGGACGGCCACAUUGGGACUGGGAUACGGCCCAGACUCCCACGGGGGGGAGGAGGGGGGAAAAUUGCACAAUGGGCGCGAGCCUGAUGCAGCGACGCCGCGGGGGGGAUGACGGCCUUCGGGUUGGAAACUCGUUUCGCUAGGGACGAAGCUUUUUGUGACGGUACCUAGAGAAGAAGCACCGGCUAACUACGUG
This 465-nucleotide ribosomal RNA is filed under the name uncultured bacterium. RNAcentral describes it as "partial 16S ribosomal RNA". It matches the Rfam family "Bacterial small subunit ribosomal RNA", at positions 28 to 507 of the family's 1533-position model. The record is from RNAcentral.